AGUGAACGCUGGCGGUAGGCCUAACACAUGCAAGUCGAACGGCAGCACAGUAAGAGCUUGCUCUUACGGGUGGCGAGUGGCGGACGGGUGAGGAAUACAUCGGAAUCUACUUUUUCGUGGGGGAUAACGUAGGGAAACUUACGCUAAUACCGCAUACGACCUACGGGUGAAAGCAGGGGAUCUUCGGACCUUGCGCGAUUGAAUGAGCCGAUGUCGGAUUAGCUAGUUGGCGGGGUAAAGGCCCACCAAGGCGACGAUCCGUAGCUGGUCUGAGAGGAUGUUCGGCCACACUGGAACUGAGACACGGUCCAGACUCCUACGGGAGGCAGCAGUGGGGAAUAUUGGACAAUGGGCGCAAGCCUGAUCCAGCCAUACCGCGUGGGUGAAGAAGGCCUUCGGGUUGUAAAGCCCUUUUGUUGGGAAAGAAAAGCAGCAGGUUAAUACCCCGCUGUUCUGACGGUACCCAAAGAAUAAGCACCGGCUAACUUCGUG
This 492-nucleotide ribosomal RNA is filed under the name uncultured bacterium. RNAcentral's name for it is "partial 16S ribosomal RNA". It matches the Rfam family "Bacterial small subunit ribosomal RNA", at positions 29 to 507 of the family's 1533-position model. The record is from RNAcentral.